Molecule: ribosomal RNA, 451 nt
Filed under: uncultured Fibrobacter sp.
Lineage: Bacteria; Pseudomonadati; Fibrobacterota; Fibrobacteria; Fibrobacterales; Fibrobacteraceae
Description: partial 16S ribosomal RNA
Rfam family: Bacterial small subunit ribosomal RNA
Source: RNAcentral
ACGGAAGGCAGCAGUAGGGAAUAUUGCACAAUGGGGGAAACCCUGAUGCAGCAACGCCACGUGUGGGAAGAAGCAGUUCGGUGUGUAAACCACUGUCGUGAGGGAAUAACGCUUGAUUUCGGUCAAGUUGAAUGUACCUCGAAAGGAAGCACCGGCAAACGUCGUGCCAGCAGCCGCGGUAAUACGAGGGGUGCAAGCGUUGUUCGGAAUCACUGGGCGUAAAGGGAGCGCAGGCGGAGAUGCAAGCGGACUGUACAAUCCCGGUGCCCAACCCCGGACCUGCCGUCCGGACUGCACCUCUUGGUUUGUUCAGGGGCAAGCGGAAUUCCUGGUGUAGCGGUGGAAUGCGUAGAGAUCAGGAAGAACACCGAUGGCGAAGGCAGCUUGCUGGGGACUUAUCGACGCUCAUGCUCGAAAGUGCGGGUAGCAAACAGGAUUAGAUACCCUGGUA